This 468-nucleotide ribosomal RNA is filed under the name uncultured bacterium. Its description in RNAcentral is "partial 16S ribosomal RNA". It matches the Rfam family "Bacterial small subunit ribosomal RNA", at positions 28 to 507 of the family's 1533-position model. The record is from RNAcentral.
GACGAACGCUGGCGGCGUGCUUAACACAUGCAAGUCGAACGGAAAGGCCCUGCUUUUGUGGGGUGCUCGAGUGGCGAACGGGUGAGUAACACGUGAGUAACCUGCCCUUGACUUUGGGAUAACUUCAGGAAACUGGGGCUAAUACCGGAUAGGAGCUCCUGCUGCAGGGUGGGGGUUGGAAAGUUUCGGCGGUUGGGGAUGGACUCGCGGCUUAUCAGCUUGUUGGUGGGGUAGUGGCUUACCAAGGCUUUGACGGGUAGCCGGCCUGAGAGGGUGACCGGCCACAUUGGGACUGAGAUACGGACCAGACUCCUACGGGAGGCAGCAGUGGGGAGUAUUGCACAAUGGGAGGAAGCCUGAUGAAGCAACGCCGCGUGCGGGAUGACGGCCUUCGGGUUGUAAACCGCUUUCGCCUGUGACGAAGCGUGAGUGACGGUAAUGGGUAAAGAAGCACCGGCUAACUACGUG